CCCUUAGAUGUCCUGGGCCGCACGCGCGCUACACUGGUCGAUGCAACGAGUUUCUUUCCUUGGCCGACAGGCCUGGGCAAUCUUUGAACAUCGAUCGUGAUCGGGAUAGAUUCUUGUAAUUUUUGAUCUUAAACGAGGAAUUCCUAGUAAACGCAAGUCAUCAGCUUGCGUUGAUUACGUCCCUGCCCUUUGUACACACCGCCCGUCGCUCCUACCGAUUGAAUGGUCCGGUGAAGCGUUCGGACCGUGGCCUUUGGACGGUUCGCCGUCUGUUGGCUGCGGGAAGUUCGUUAAACCUUAUCAUUUAGAGGAAGGAGAAGUCGUANCA
Molecule: ribosomal RNA, 328 nt
Filed under: uncultured eukaryote
Lineage: Eukaryota
Description: partial 18S ribosomal RNA
Rfam family: Eukaryotic small subunit ribosomal RNA
Source: RNAcentral